UACGUAGGGUGCAAGCGUUGUCCGGAAUUAUUGGGCGUAAAGAGCUCGUAGGCGGUCUGUCGCGUCGGCUGUGAAAUCCCGGAGCUCAACUCCGGGUCUGCAGUCGAUACGGGCAGACUAGAGUGCGGUAGGGGAGACUGGAAUUCCUGGUGUAGCGGUGAAAUGCGCAGAUAUCAGGAGGAACACCGGUGGCGAAGGCGGGUCUCUGGGCCGUAACUGACGCUGAGGAGCGAAAGCGUGGGGAGCGAACAGG
RNAcentral lists this ribosomal RNA (253 nucleotides) under uncultured bacterium. RNAcentral's name for it is "partial 16S ribosomal RNA". It matches the Rfam family "Bacterial small subunit ribosomal RNA", at positions 524 to 776 of the family's 1533-position model. The record is from RNAcentral.